AGUAAUGCUUGGGAAUCUGGCUUAUGGAGGGGGAUAACGACGGGAAACUGUCGCUAAUACCGCGUAUUAUCGGAAGAUGAAAGUGCGGGACUGAGAGGCCGCAUGCCAUAGGAUGAGCCCAAGUGGGAUUAGGUAGUUGGUGGGGUAAAGGCCUACCAAGCCUGCGAUCUCUAGCUGGUCUGAGAGGAUGACCAGCCACACUGGAACUGAGACACGGUCCAG
This 222-nucleotide ribosomal RNA is filed under the name uncultured bacterium. RNAcentral describes it as "partial 16S ribosomal RNA". It matches the Rfam family "Bacterial small subunit ribosomal RNA", at positions 109 to 334 of the family's 1533-position model. The record is from RNAcentral.